UGGGUUCGACCUGAGCUCGGACAAGGCUACCC
RNAcentral lists this ribosomal RNA (32 nucleotides) under Desmodesmus communis. Its description in RNAcentral is "partial 26S ribosomal RNA". The record is from RNAcentral. Lineage: Eukaryota; Viridiplantae; Chlorophyta; Chlorophyceae; Sphaeropleales; Scenedesmaceae.